Molecule: long non-coding RNA, 458 nt
Organism: Oreochromis niloticus (Nile tilapia)
Lineage: Eukaryota; Metazoa; Chordata; Actinopteri; Cichliformes; Cichlidae
Exons: 3
Source: RefSeq, a predicted model, not a curated record
GUGACACAAAAUGUAGAUUCAGUUGUAUCACAGCUGUUAGCAGGACAAAGAGCUUUAAGAAGACAUGAACAGCAUUAUUGUUGAAUGUCUUUAAUCCUGCAGUGACAAACUUAUUUCAGUGUUUCCUGUUGCUGUUGUCCUGUUUGUGUAAGAAGAGGCUGAAUAAGCAUCCAUCAGUGGGAGGUUCCCAUCAGGUGUCUCCACCGUGGACUCCACCUCCAACCCCGCUCUCCAGGAUCCACAUAAAGAGAGACGGACGGAGAGAGCAGCGUCCUCUUCACAGAGACACCAACAGAAGAAUCACCAGAGAGCCUCCUGAGCAGCAGCCUUCAUCCUCCUCAUCCUCCAUCAGAGCUGCAGCAGAAUCACAAACACAGCACAGGUUUCUGUCAGCUGAUUGGCCCUCUCCAACAUGCUCCGCCCUCUGCUCUUCCUGUGUGCUCUCAUAGCGGUGACAG